Lineus longissimus is the source of this 751-nucleotide long non-coding RNA. RefSeq lists it as uncharacterized. The record is from RefSeq and is a predicted model, not a curated record. NCBI's taxonomy places the organism in Eukaryota, Metazoa, Nemertea, Pilidiophora, Heteronemertea, Lineidae. The transcript has 3 exons.
CCCAAUACACCGUCUUGGUGCCUGUCAUCCUGGGGGUCCCCGGCAAUUUCCUAUCAAUACUCGUUGCCAAUAGACCACAGAACAAGAACCUCUCCCCAUGUGUCUACAUGACAGGCAUGGCAGUUGUUGAUACCAUUUUUCUCCUAGAGGUGGCCUGGUUUUAUUCUACAUUUUAUGUUGGAGUUCUAGACGGUGUUAUUGUUUCCUUUAAGCAGGCGGAGACUCUUUACCAAUUUCAUAUAUUUGUACUCUACACAAGCUCUAUGCUGUCGGGUCUUUUUCUGACCGGUAUGUCUUUGGAUCGUCUGGUCGCCGUGACGUCACCAAUGAAGGUAUCGCGUCUGUGCACUGCAACACGCGCCAAGUCAAUCGUUUUGGUGACGUCAGUUGUUAUCACUGCAGUUAAUGUUCAUCUUUUUUAUGUCAUGGAAUACGUCUUCGACGCCAAAACAGGAACCCGCGUCAUCAACAUAGUUCACGAAAACAAGACUUUCGAAAGGUUUUCUUAUUAUUUCAACAUACUGUUUGGGACAGUCGUACCUUUUCUCACAAUAUUUGGCAGCAACAUCAUUAUCAUUAUCACACUUAACCGGGCUGCAAGUCAAAGAAGGAAGAUGCUUGAAAAUAGUCAACAAGACAAAUUCCAAAAGGGAACGCAGCACUUAACGGUCAUGUUGAUAUUGGUAAGCGUUGCUUAUAUCGUGACUUCACUUCCCUACCGAACUUAUAUCCCGAUUUUAAAACUUGCCAA